GAUGAACGCUGGCGGCGUGCCUAAUACAUGCAAGUCGAGCGAACAGACGAGGAGCUUGCUCCUCUGACGUUAGCGGCGGACGGGUGAGUAACACGUGGAUAACCUACCUAUAAGACUGGGAUAACUUCGGGAAACCGGAGCUAAUACCGGAUAAUAUAUUGAACCGCAUGGUUCAAUAGUGAAAGACGGUUUUGCUGUCACUUAUAGAUGGAUCCGCGCCGCAUUAGCUAGUUGGUAAGGUAACGGCUUACCAAGGCAACGAUGCGUAGCCGACCUGAGAGGGUGGGGAGGCAUACGGAGACUGACACACGAUCGGGACGACUACGGGAGGAAGCAGUAGGGAGUCAGCCGGAAAGGGCGAAGGAAUGACGAAGAAACGCCGCGGGGGUGAUGAAGUGCGUCGGAUCGUAAAACUCUGUUAUGAGGGAAGAACAAAGGUGUAAGUGACUAUGCAGGGCUUGACGGGACCUAAACAGAAAGACACGGCUAACUACGUG
Molecule: ribosomal RNA, 497 nt
Filed under: uncultured bacterium
Lineage: Bacteria
Description: partial 16S ribosomal RNA
Rfam family: Bacterial small subunit ribosomal RNA
Source: RNAcentral